GGGUGUUUAGCUCAGUGGUAGAGCGCCUAGCUUUUAACUAGGUGGUCGACAGUUCGAACCUGUCAAUACCCG
This 72-nucleotide transfer RNA is filed under the name Rhodotorula toruloides. RNAcentral's name for it is "tRNA-Lys". It matches the Rfam family "tRNA". Rfam says of the family: Transfer RNA (tRNA) molecules are approximately 80 nucleotides in length. Their secondary structure includes four short double-helical elements and three loops (D, anti-codon, and T loops). Further hydrogen bonds mediate the characteristic L-shaped molecular structure. tRNAs have two regions of fundamental functional importance: the anti-codon, which is responsible for specific mRNA codon recognition, and the 3' end, to which the tRNAs corresponding amino acid is attached (by aminoacyl-tRNA synthetases). tRNAs cope with the degeneracy of the genetic code in two manners: having more than one tRNA (with a specific anti-codon) for a particular amino acid; and 'wobble' base-pairing, i.e. permitting non-standard base-pairing at the 3rd anti-codon position. The record is from RNAcentral. RNAcentral also lists the same sequence under 1 other name. Lineage: Eukaryota; Fungi; Basidiomycota; Microbotryomycetes; Sporidiobolales; Sporidiobolaceae.